AGUUGCACGGCUAUGAGUCGCGGUGUUGUGCGCGUGUUUCGUGCGGCGGCGUUACUUUGUUCUCGUCGCUGGACGUGAAGUUUGGUUUGACAACACUGCAACACGCCGCAAUGCGAGUGCGAUGGUGUGGCAAUGACCCUGUGACUCAAGCGAGCAUGCCAGCAUGCCGCUGUGUACAACGAAGCAGCUUAUAAGUGCGCCUUGUUCGCGGCGCAAUCAGGAACACAAAUGGUAGGUGUGAACAACGAAGCAGGUUAUGAGCGCGCCUUGUUCGCGGCACAAUCAGGAACACAAGUGGUAGGUGUGUACAACGAAGCAGCUUAUGAGUGCGCCUUAUUCGCUGCACAAUCAAGAACACAAAUGGAAGACAUUCAUGGGAAAGCUGCAGGAGUUGCUCAACCAUCUGUUUGUGUACAAGACAGUGUAUUGUGAGAAUACUCCCCUGUGCCUCACUGUACACCAACUUGAACAUUUUGUACAUCUUACAUUUUUUGAUAAUACUCUCACUGUGCUUUGUGAUAAACACAGAGUGCUAUGCAUGGCACUGCAUAGAACCUGUCCAAUAGCUUGCCCAUUUAAAAAUUUCGCUUUGUUAGAAACGACACUACAUGAAACCGGCUUUAUACAGCAAGUUUAUUCCUAAGAUGGACAGUUGGGUGAGUUGAUGAGUAGUAAGAGUUGAAGAAAGAGUGUAAAAGAGGCCCAUAUUAUAGUUAAAUGAGAAAGUAAUGCAGAGGACAAUGCGCUACGAGAAAGGAAAGUGUGAUGCCAACCACAAAAAGAUACACAAACAUAGUACGAAAAAAGUACAAGCUAAAAGUAUCAUGCAAUCGUAGGAUGAGUACAAACCUGGCUAAAGUAAGCAUACAUGCAAUAAGCUUCAGCUUAUAGUACUGUUCUCUUCAUUUCUGUUUGUAUGUUGGUUUGUUGCCACACUUUUUUUUACUCUGAACUGAAGUCCUAACUGCUUUAUACUCUGUGUAUAUUUGUGGUCAAAUUAGUUUCAACCUCACGCGUACCAAGCUCCAGAACAAAAUAUGCUAACCACCAUCUGCUAUAUAAAGAAAUUUUAAAUCUUAGCCUUGUGAUAGCCUAAUUUCAAGUUCAAUGCAGCCCAGGUACUUGGAAUAAUGUUAAUGUGGUAAUUAUGCAUAGGCCCAUCAGUGAGGAAUUAAAGACGAACUUUUUAGCUUGAAGAUGAUGUUGGUUAGCAUAGAAAUAUUGUAAAGAUAUAUGGACUAAUUAUGUGCAAAUAAAGCAUCGGUGUAUUACAGCUGUGUGAUAAUGCCAACAAGUUCCCAAGCACAGGCAAUUCCAGAAAAUUACGUUAUUUUCCACAUAUGUGUGAGUAAACGUGUGAAGCCAUAUACGAAUGCCAUGUUGUUAUUUUGUUGGCAUGACUGAGCAUAGUUGGCACUCACGACUUGCUAGAAUUCAACACUAAAAGACACACUGAAGCACAAUUAAGACACACACGAGCGCGAACUAACAACUGUUUUUUCGAUGAAAAUAUGACCAACAUAUGUAGGGUGAAAGGAAAGAAAAAAAGAAAGAGCGUAAGCCUGGGCCCUCCCCAUCAAAAGAAAGCAACAAUCUGUGCGACAUGAAAUCUGGCCUUGUUAACUAUCUAAAAUAUCCAUGUAAAAAGUAUAGUCAUCGUAGGACAAAUGAAUAGAUGGUGCACAAACACAUUUGUUUUCUCCAAGCGUGCGCAUCAUGAAAGCUUCAAUGAUUUCUCUUUCCUUUGUGUCUUUGUAUCUUGACAAAAUAUUGGUGUUUUCAAAACUUGACUUACAAUGGCACCGGGGUCACCGAUGUGCUUGCAGUAGUAAUCAUGCUCCCUUAAUUGUAAAUCAAGACACCUACCAGUUUUCUCAACGUACCAAUUUUCGCAUGGCAAAGAAAUACCAUAUACACCAUUUUUUUUUCACAUGGUACAAACUUGCUGACAUGUUUGACAGAACAUGUGUGGUUGUUCUUCAGGUUGUUGCCGUUUACUUGGUGACAAAGUGAAAUUGACUUGUGAGGUGCUGUGAAGUCACGGGUAUGCCAUGCCUACUUGCAAUUUUUUUCAGUCCGUGCGAAAUGCUGUGUACGUAGGGCAUAACAAUAGGCCUCUAUUUUGACUUCUUUUUUAAUGCUACGUUCGUUUCUUACGUGUUGCCGACGGUUUUUAAGAGCCUCUCGGCCAAAGCAUGAAGGCAUCAGGGUAAUCGCUGUUCCAGGGUUCAUCAACUUGCUUCAUCAAAUUUCGUGCCACCAUGUGGUCACACAAUUUUUGGCAGCUAUUAAAUAUGGAUGCAUACGCGACGUUUAAGUGUGUCUUUAAGUAGUUCAAUUUGAGGGCGCCCUGAGUGUCAACCAUGCACAAACUAGCCCCUACUCUCGCCCUUAUGGAUCAACACUUUUAUAAAUUUUGGUAAGUGGAUGUACAACAAGCUCAACAGGUCUCAUUUGAACUUUUCUGUAAAAAACUGGACUUUUGAUCAUAUCACACACGUUUUUAUGCCAUAGGUCAAGCUAAUGCAAUAAAAAACUUCAUAUCUACCUGGAUGGUUGCAUAUUUCAUAAAAGUACCGCUAGUCUUAUUGUACUAAUUUGCUAACCAGCAUGUGUAGACUGACACCAAUUUUCUUGUACAUCCCAUUUCUUUAGAUUAUGCUUAUAUUCUUUAAAUUGUGCACUGUGAAGUGCACAUGUCACUGUGUGUAUGAUGAGAUUUUUCGCUCUAGUUUCGUCGUGCUAUACUACGGUGAAUAAUAAAUGGUGCUUGGGCUGCGCCAUGUAUGUUUCUAUUGUUUUGUUUUAGGUAUAGGUAUUGUAUACAAAUAUGUAAAUAUACAUGUGCUUACACUGACACGACAACUGAUGCUGUUAUGGUUCGAAUAAAAUAUUUCAAACGCUGUAUCGUUUGAGGUGUGCAAUAGGAAUUGAUGAAAUGGCUGGUGGCUCAACAUUAUGGCUUGUGCUUUUAUUACCAACCAAGCAGAGCCAAUGUUUUACUCUUCAGAAUUAUUGUGGAAAAUAAAUAGGUGACAGGCAAGCAGGCAGAACGUUUUCGCUCUGUUUAUGCAUACAUUGGAGGUUCUUCUUCAAUCGCAACAUAACUGAAGUGGCAUGUUGCAUGAUUGAAGUUUAACGUAAUAUGUAUGUAACGACACAGUGGUACAAUAAGUAGCAUUUUCCCGUUUUUUGUGUAUUUGCUACCCUCAUCGGGGUUUCUGUAUUAUGGCUACGAAAUUCUGAAUGGCGAAGAAGCUAAUCUGUCUUCUUCUGUGCGUAUGGUAUACUACCAAUUGAAAAACAAUUGUUUAAUGAAGAGCAGCUCUUUCGCUGAGAAAGACUGUAACGCUGCGUUUGUUUUUAUUUCGUGCUACUACAUCUGUGCGACAGGAGUGCCAAGUACACGUGGUUGUUCACAAGGGUGAAGUUCUUGUGAAAUAACUUCACUUUUUAUCGGGAGACUUGUCAACUGCUAAUUUGUGGUAGUUGUGCAGAUAUUGGGGCAUGCCUUAGGCGUUGCUUUUAAUUCAUAUGUCUAAUAUUUAAAAAUAAAGGUUUAUUGGUAAAAUUCUGCGUGGUCAACUAGUACUAAAUCAACUGAAUAUUGAGUUUGGGUUAGAGAAGCAUUUUGUGGCGAGAUGAAAUACUAGUUGCGAAUAAGUGCUAAUUGCGGAUAUAGAUUAUCGUUCAGCUGCUCAUAAGGCGGUGCUGCCGUUGCGUUUGACUUCCGACAGCACGCGUGCAGUAAAGGCAUAAGGUUUAGGCGUGUUACAGAGUCCUUGUAACUUUGGCACCUGCAUGUGCGUCCACACAAGGGGGGGAGGGGGCACCAUCCCACGCAAUCGCCUAGAGAGGGAGUCUGGAGUCCGCUUCGUACAUUGACUUAGUAGAGAGAGUAGAUGCUGCGAAAAACCUUCGCCUCUCCCCUCUCUCGCUGCAUAAAAAUCCUGUGCACGCUUAUGAGCAUCUCCUUGGGUAACUUUCAUUUUUUAUAUGCUAUGAGAAACGGCGGCGUUGGUGAACGUGCUGGUGGCAGACGAGAACGACAAACGAUGGCACGCUCACUCUCAGCGGCUGCUCAUAGUCAGUCGCGUCAGAAUCUUGAAAUGAUAGAGAUGUUGCUCAGUGUUUCAUUCUCGUCUCUGAAGAUUCUGUGCGGUGGCAGUACCAGACAUCUAUCUACAAUGCGAAUCUAGGAGGUCUCGAACAACUUAGAACACGCCGCUGCCAUGGGACGCGUGCAGGUAGAGGCACAAAUACCGAAAAUAGCUGUACAGCAUAUGCCCAUGGAAGGCACAUUUGUUCAGCCAUCUGUAGAUAACUUUUGUCCGGGAGAAUCCACAAAUUCGGGCGAGUGAAGCACUGUCGGUGUAUGGAGAAGUGCCCAAGUGAGCACACGUUUACCAUUUUUCUAGCGGCACGAAACGACGAUCUGAAUAGUUCGAAGCCGAAGGCGUUUAAGCAUGGCCGGCAUGGCACCCUUCAGUUUAGGCAGUGGACUUGCACAAGCACUGACCACAUUCCGCUGCUACAAGAACGAAAGUUUGAAAUAUCGCAGACGUGUUGGUAGCCGAUUUGUACAUAGAAAUCUCCGUGAUAAACCAGACAAGGUAGUGGUGGUGCUGUGGUAUAAACGUUAUCGUGUUUGCUUUCAGUGCGUGUGGUCACGAGUUUGAUUCCUGUGUCGUGCGUACUUGUAUGCAAAUGUCAUGUUUGUGCUUGAAUGCUUAGAUGUACGUUUUCUGGUGUGUCCCUGCGAUGAAUAUUAGCAAUAAAUGUCUCCAAAACUGUAA
Molecule: long non-coding RNA, 4796 nt
Organism: Rhipicephalus microplus (southern cattle tick)
Lineage: Eukaryota; Metazoa; Arthropoda; Arachnida; Ixodida; Ixodidae
Source: RefSeq, a predicted model, not a curated record